ACAUGCAGUCGAGCGAACAGAUAAGGAGCUUGCUCCUUUGACGUUAGCGGCGGACGGGUGAGUAACACGUGGAUAACCUACCUAUAAGACUGGGAUAACUUCGGGAAACCGGAGCUAAUACCGGAUAACAUAUUGAACCGCAGGGUUCAAUAGUGAAAGGCGGCUUUGCUGUCACUUAUAGAUGGAUCCGCGCCGUAUUAGCUAGUUGGUAAGGUAACGGCUUACCAAGGCAACGAUACGUAGCCAACCUGAGAGGGUGAUCGGCCACACUGGAACUGAGACACGGUCCAGACUCCUACGGGAGGCAGCAGUAGGGAAUCUUCCGCAAUGGGCGAAAGCCUGACGGAGCAACGCCGCGUGAGUGAUGAAGGUCUUCGGAUCGUAAAACUCUGUUAUCAGGGAAGAACAAAUGUGUAAGUAACUGUGCACAUCUUGACGGUACCUGAUCAGAAAGCCACGGCUAACUACGUGCCAGCAGCCGCGGUAAUACGUAGGUGGCAAGCGUUAUCCGGAAUUAUUGGGCGUAAAGCGCGCGUAGGCGGUUUUUUAAGUCUGAUGUGAAAGCCCACGGCUCAACCGUGGAGGGUCAUUGGAAACUGGAAAACUUGAGUGCAGAAGAGGAAAGUGGAAUUCCAUGUGUAGCGGUGAAAUGCGCAGAGAUAUGGAGGAACACCAGUGGCGAAGGCGACUUUCUGGUCUGUAACUGACGCURAUGUGCGAAAGCGUGGGGAUCAAACAGGAUUAGAUACCCUGGUAGUCCACGCCGUAAACGAUGAGUGCUAAKKGUUAGGGGGUUUCCGCCCCUUAGUGCUGCAGCUAACGCAUUAAGCACUCCGCCUGGGGAGUACGACCGCAAGGUUGAAACUCAAAGGAAUUGACGGGGACCCGCACAAGCGGUGGAAGCAUGUGGUUUAAUUCGAAGCAACGCGAAGAACCUUACCAAAUCUUGACAUCCUUUGACCGCUCUAGAGAUAGAGUCUUCCCCUUCGGGGGACAAAGUGACAGGUGGUGCAUGGUUGUCGUCAGCUCGUGUCGUGAGAUGUUGGGUUAAGUCCCGCAACGAGCGCAACCCUUAAGCUUAGUUGCCAUCAUUAAGUUGGGCACUCUAAGUUGACUGCCGGUGACAAACCGGAGGAAGGUGGGGAUGACGUCAAAUCAUCAUGCCCCUUAUGAUUUGGGCUACACACGUGCUACAAUGGACAAUACAAAGGGCAGCUAAACCGCGAGGUCAAGCAAAUCCCAUAAAGUUGUUCUCAGUUCGGAUUGUAGUCUGCAACUCGACUACAUGAAGCCGGAAUCGCUAGUAAUCGUAGAUCAGCAUGCUACGGUGAAUACGUUCCCGGGUCUUGUACACACCGCCCGUCACACCACGAGAGUUUGUAACACCCGAAGCCGGUGGAGUAACCAUUUAUGGAGCUAGCCGUCGAAGGU
This 1431-nucleotide ribosomal RNA is filed under the name Staphylococcus warneri. RNAcentral's name for it is "bacterial SSU rRNA". It matches the Rfam family "Bacterial small subunit ribosomal RNA". The record is from RNAcentral. Lineage: Bacteria; Bacillati; Bacillota; Bacilli; Caryophanales; Staphylococcaceae.